UACUUCUGUGGGAAAUUUCAAGAUGUUUCAUAUCUGGUCAUUAAUUCGAAUCCAGGAGUAAUCACUUUGAUGAUGCUAACAAAAAUCAGAUGGUUGUAGGGAAGAAAGAAACACCCCAUCUCGUACAACGUGGUAAACAACUAAUUGGUAACUAUCUUCUUCAAUCGAUUAUUUCUAAUAUUGAUCUACGAGAAGAUCUUACUGAUGCAGUGAAGGAAUUUGUGAAAUUUUGGUUUAAAAUUGGGGACUCUGUGGGUUAAGAGUAGAGAUUUGGAGCGUCGAGUUGGUUCUGCUGGGUUUUUCUAGUGCUAGUUAACUUCAUCCAAGAAUGCAUGAGAUCGUUCAGAUAACAUCACAAUCAAGAGUACUCAACACGGUUUUUGAAGCUUCACCAGAUCCAAUGGAGUGGUAAAGGAGAAGCAGCGUCCACUGAUGCCAGGGCACUUUCAGGCCAUGACUCUUAAAAAUUUCAGACGGGUUUUAUGAAUUAUGAGCAAACACUGAUUAGAAAUCGACACAGAUGAACUGCAGAAUGAUACUUGACAGAAAAUUUGGCCUAGUCAUGUAUUCAUAUUUUUUGCAGGUACAACGUGGUAAACAACUAAUUGGUAACUAUCUUCUUCAAUCGAUUAUUUCUAAUAUUGAUCUACGAGAAGAUCUUACUGAUGCAGUGAAGGAAUUUGUGAAAUUUUGGUUUAAAAUUGGGGACUCUGUGGGUUAUUUAGAUCAAGUCUGGAUAGAGGAGACUAUUAAGAGUAGAGACAUGGUUCUUCUGCAUGUGAGUGGUUAUUUUAAGGAAGAUCAAAAAGCAGGAUAUGGAGUUAUGAUCCGGGAUGUUCAUCUCAGGCCUAUAAAAAGCAGGAAGAUCAAAAAGCAGGAUAUGGAGUUAAGAUUGAGUUUGAAAAGCAGGAUAUGGAGUUAUGAAAAUGGACUGAUUAGAUGUAUGUUAGGUGUUAUAGGGAAG
Long non-coding RNA from Papaver somniferum (opium poppy), 964 nucleotides. RefSeq lists it as uncharacterized. Lineage: Eukaryota; Viridiplantae; Streptophyta; Magnoliopsida; Ranunculales; Papaveraceae. The transcript is spliced from 5 exons. The record is from RefSeq and is a predicted model, not a curated record.